Molecule: non-coding RNA, 73 nt
Organism: Myotis brandtii (Brandt's bat)
Lineage: Eukaryota; Metazoa; Chordata; Mammalia; Chiroptera; Vespertilionidae
Source: Rfam
GCUAGUGUGGCUCAGUGGAUACAGCGUCAGCCUGGAGACUGAAGGGUCCUGGGUUCGAUUCCUGUCAAUGGCA